Molecule: long non-coding RNA, 716 nt
Filed under: Diabrotica virgifera virgifera (western corn rootworm)
Lineage: Eukaryota; Metazoa; Arthropoda; Insecta; Coleoptera; Chrysomelidae
Description: uncharacterized LOC126887709
Source: RNAcentral
CCGGUCUUUUCACCUAAUAUGCUCUUAUCUGGCAGUUAGCUAUCUGGAGGAUAAAUAUUUAUUCGCCAGAUAAAAUGUACCCGUCUUUUCACGUCAAUUUAUGUUCCAGUUAGUUAUCCGGUAGAUAAGCUUAAAAGUAAGUUUGGAUUCCGAACACACCUGACUUUUAUGUUUAUUUUUAUAAUUUCAGCUUUAACUUAACCUAACAUAAUUAGAUUCGAAGUAUUUCAAAGAUGAUUUUAUCGAUUUUAUUUCCAUUUUGGAAGAAGGAAUGAAGGAAAUAAGGAAAACAUUGAUUAUGCUGAAAUAGUUUACUGGAGAGCUUGAACAAGAGGUAAAUCCAUUUUAAAUUAGAGGAAAACUGUUGAUUUGUAUGUAAAAUAGAAGACAAAGACAAGUUUAAAUAAAGACAAGCUAGCUAAUGAAACAGAUGCAGUGAUAUGACAAACACCUAGAAGAUGGAAUCCUGUGUUCUCAAAGAAAAAGCUAGCUCCAGAAAUAAGCUACCAAUAAUAAACUAGAGAAUGUAUUACAAGAAAGAACAACGCUAAUACCCAACAUAGCUCAAUUGCUUCAGAUAGAAAAAGAGGAGGAAAGGGUAGAACACAAGCGUGCCAGAGAAAAUUAAAGGGCAGAAGAGACACAAAAAUUCAUUGAUUUAUUAAAUUUAAUAAUUAAAUUAUACAAAGGACAAUUAAAUAAAGAAUAAAAAAUUA